GAUGAACGCUGGCGGCGUGCCUAAUACAUGCAAGUCGAGCGAACGGACGAGAAGCUUGCUUCUCUGAUGUUAGCGGCGGACGGGGGAGUAACACGUGGAUAACCUACCUAUAAGACUGGGAUAACUUCGGGAAACCGGAGCUAAUACCGGAUAAUAUUUUGAACCGCAUGGUUCAAAAGUGAAAGACGGUCUUGCUGUCACUUAUAGAUGGAUCCGCGCUGCAUUAGCUAGUUGGUAAGGUAACGGCUUACCAAGGCAACGAUGCAUAGCCGACCUGAGAGGGUGAUCGGCCACACUGGAACUGAGACACGGUCCAGACUCCUACGGGAGGCAGCAGUAGGGAAUCUUACGCAAUGGGCGAAAGCCUGACGGAGCAACGCCGCGUGAGUGAUGAAGGUCUUCGGAUCGUAAAACUCUGUUAUUAGGGAAGAACAUAUGUGUAAGUAACUGUGCACAUCUUGACGGUACCUAAUCAGAAAGCCACGGCUAACUACGUG
This 497-nucleotide ribosomal RNA is filed under the name uncultured bacterium. Its description in RNAcentral is "partial 16S ribosomal RNA". It matches the Rfam family "Bacterial small subunit ribosomal RNA", at positions 28 to 507 of the family's 1533-position model. The record is from RNAcentral.